This 501-nucleotide ribosomal RNA is filed under the name uncultured bacterium. RNAcentral describes it as "bacterial SSU rRNA". It matches the Rfam family "Bacterial small subunit ribosomal RNA", at positions 28 to 526 of the family's 1533-position model. The record is from RNAcentral.
GACGAACGCUGGCGGCGCGCUUAACACAUGCAAGUCGAGCGAUGAAAUCUUAACAGAACCCUUCGGGGCGAAGAUAAGACGGAUUAGCGGCGGACGGGUGAGUAACACGUGAGUAACCUGCCUUUUACACAGGGAUAGCCUCGGGAAACCGGGAUUAAAACCUGAUGAAACUAUCAAAUCACAUGAUUAAGAAAGUUAAAACUCCGGUGGUAAAAGAUGGACUCGCGUCCCAUUAGCUAGUUGGUGAAGGUAACGGCCCACCAAGGCAACGAUGGGUAGCCGGCCUGAGAGGGUGAACGGCCACAUUGGAACUGAGAAACGGUCCAAACUCCUACGGGAGGCAGCAGUGGGGAAUAUUGCACAAUGGGGGAAACCCUGAUGCAGCGACGCCGCGUGAGCGAAGAAGGCCUUCGGGUCGUAAAGCUCUUUUAUAUGGGAAGAUAAUGACGGUACCAUAAGAAAAAGCCCCGGCUAACUACGUGCCAGCCGCCGCCGUAACAC